AAAAUAUACACUUACAAGUUACAAUAAUACACUCAAAAGGUGAAUAUAGCUUAUUUAUAUAUGAAAUAUACAUUGACUACACAUAAAUAUACACUAAUUAUACGUAUAGAUUCGAUUUUGAUAAACUCAAAAUCGCCUCUAAACAGUCCUAAAAUUUAGAUAUGAAAUCGACUUGAUGAAUUCCAUAUAUAAAUUUACUCGAAAUGAAUUCAAAUUUUGUUUUUUAAAAAAAAAAAGAACAAGAAGAAGAAGAUAUAUAUAUACAGGUCGUGAUGUGACAGUUUCCUAGCCCCUUCUUAUAGGGAAGCCGCUCCCCGGUCGUUACUUCAAAGAUGGAUUGUCAACCAAUUAUAUCUUUUCCUUUGCCAAAUACAAGUGUACAAGUAUCAAUGCAAGAGGUGUUGCCUAGAGCACGAACAACGGUGUAAUAACCAUCAGCAAAUCAGAACUACACUAAGUCAAAGAUAAAACAUCAUGCAGUUAUGCAGUAUAUUUAGCAAACUUGUUAGCGAUAUGUCUCUAACAGUAAUACUUUUCUGUACAGUGAACUGAAGCUGAGCAUUAGGUAGUGGAGUAAGAGAACCACCAAGGAGAAUUUUGGUGCUGAUCAAUUGUUGAUAUGUUGUCCGGAGUUGUAGAUAAAGUGCUGCUUUGCUUUUUUGUCUGACGAGAGUUGUUUGUAUAUCACCUAUUAUUAAUAAUGCAUUGGCGUGCCUUUUCUUGUGAGAGAUGGCUUUUUUAUCCAUCGACAAACCUAUAAGAGAAAACAUGUGUAAUUAGGCCAACAAAUUUCCAGACCACACAAGUAAAGAAAUUUGUGAAAGCAAUAUUACGAUAGAACAGUAGAUUAAAAAUUUUCAUUCAGCCUUGUUAAUCAUGAUGCACAUUUUAAUAGGAAAAUGAUUUUUAGCCGUUGAAAUAGCUUAAUUUGACCUGACACAUAUAUCGACCUUUAGUUUUAUGUAGAAUGAUGUAGAAUGGGAAGUCAUACUCAUGGUCUUUGUUAGUUGUGGAGAGGUUGGGCACACCUCAAUUUUCAUGAGGUUUUCUGGGUUUGGAGAAGAUAUAAUUACUUUUGAAUGACUUAAAACUGGUCAAUCUUGAGAGGCACGUCUUUAGGUAUAAUAGGGAGAUAGAUUUAUCACUUUUUCCUAUUGUGUCUUGUUUACUUAGUAACAUUUUGAAUUAAUAAUGCUGGAGAUAACAAAUGAUAACAUUGAAGAUUUCAGAGCAGAGAUCAAGUUUGUGUUGCAGCAGUUGCUUGAGUCUUUGGUUCUUCUGGCAAUACCCUUAUUAGCAAUUGACAAAAGCAAUGAUCCCUUCACUACAUCUCUAAUCUUAUAUAGUAAUACGUUAAAAAGAAGUUAUCACUUAAGAGGAAAACCUUACUAGAGUUAGUAGGAAGAAAAUGUCUGCUACCAACAAUAAAGUUGCUUGCCAUAUUCAAUUUCUUGUAGCUUUGGUUUUCAAGUAAUAAGGCUUUGUUUUGCCUGUAAGGUUACCUAGAAAACAUUUCUGGUGUUGACAAGAUCUACCACUUUGCUAGAAUUUCUUUGUUUAUUUUUCUUAUAUAACUUUUUGUAUCCUUUGAAAAUGACUGAAAUUUUGACAAUUAAGGUGAAAGGCUAAAUCUUUUUAACUUUUGUGUGUUGUACCUACAAGAUCUAUAAGAAAGAUUUUUAGAACUUGAAUUUGAUAAAUCCUUAACUCCUCUGUUUUGGAAAUGGAGAAUUUUCUGGCAGUAAAUGUUUAUAUUAUAUUCAUCACUCACAUGCUAGUCUAUUAAACCACUUCCCAUUUAUGUUAAUCAGAGAGCAACACGAGUAAACGACAUACGCGAAAUGUAAGAGUUGAAGUUUAGGAGUUCAUUUAGAACCCACGAUCAACACUAUAGAUCAGUAACAAUUGAAGCAAAAAGUUUUCGGAUGACUCAAUCUCCAUAAAUGAUGUUUUGUUUUACGCAUUGAGAUCAUGACAUAAAACUCAUCUAUUAGAAGCAAAGGUAAAUCAGAAAGCUGCUCUAUGAAGUACUCAACAAUAUCUUUCCUCAACAUACAUCAAACACAAAGUCAGUAAUUUGCAAUCUACGUAAACAUAUGUAUGUAAACUAUACGCACAUAUCAAAAACCUGCGUAGAACAAAGAAAUAAACAGCAAUUUAGCACUGUUUGCAUUUGUAGGUAAGUAGGCAAUUAACUCAUUAGUGUAUGGUGGUCUAGUUGCCUCCUUAGGGACAAUAGAUGAGUCCUCGAAAUAGUUUGAUUUUAUUCUGGCAAUAAUUAUCAGUUAUACUUCUUUCUUUGGUAUAAAUUCAUUCACACAGAACAAGAAAAAGAUGAGCUUUGAAAUAAAAGCGAAAAAGAUUCAAAGAAAAACUCCAUUUGCUUUGGAUAAUGAAAGUGAAGAAAUAAGUUCCAUAGUAACAUUCCACAUUCUCAUAGGACAUGCUUAGGUUGGAUUACUUAAACUGCUUUAUUUAUUGCUAGAAUACCAAAUGCUGCUCUAACUGUUAACAGAACUCUCAUAGGACAUGAUCUAGCAAGUGUCCUUCUGUGGCGAAGUUAUCAUAUUUGAGGAAAAUGUACUGACAAAGUUCAUUCCAAGGAAAAAAAGAACACUAACUGAAGGAAAUAUCAUUUUGAACAAGUUUAUGCUUUCAUUUUGAGAGGAAUAUAGAAAUAUAUAAUCAAUUUUUUUACCAAAAAAGAGAGAAAUCAUUGUAUAACGAAAAAAACGAUAUUUAUAGAGAGAAGUUGUUGAACAACAAAACAAGCCAAAAUUAUGUUCCAGCCAGAAUCAGAAACUGGAUUCACACAUGCAAUCACAUGACAUGCAGUAGCAAAACAGAUGUUAAUCAAUAGGAACACAUACAUACGCGUUAAACCUCAAAAAGGAGGAACUAUGAAUUCCUAAAUCGGGGAAGGAGAGAACAUCAACGAAGUCAAAUCAAAACCUAAAAUUGAAAAGAAAAGCAGUUAUGGAAUAAAGAAGAUUGAGGUGAAAGUAAAGGUUUUCCAAGACUAUUUCUAAUAAUGAAGCGAAUGUAUGUGCAUAAUCAACGCAAAUAUUUGAGACUAAGAAGAAACGGAAAUAAAAAGAAAAACAGAAAUCACCACAGAUGAAAUCGGUAAUAUUGAACAGAAAGAGGAAAAGAGCACUCACAGAGUAUAUCAGGUCAGAGUGAUUUUGGAAAUCCAAAUACGAAGAAGAAAUUCAGAUACAACUGUUUGUUGUUAAAGCAUAGAUGUUAAAACUGUGAGACCUCCAAAUUCAAACAAGGAUAGUACAAAGAAAUGAGUAUUUCAGAGCACCGCUUGAAGACAAGAG
RNAcentral lists this long non-coding RNA (3326 nucleotides) under Solanum lycopersicum (tomato). Its description in RNAcentral is "long non-coding RNA (SLYC_LNC001407)". Lineage: Eukaryota; Viridiplantae; Streptophyta; Magnoliopsida; Solanales; Solanaceae. The record is from RNAcentral.